AUUGAACGCUGGCGGCAGGCUUAACACAUGCAAGUCGAACGAUGACUCUCUAGCUUGCUAGAGUUGAUUAGUGGCGGACGGGUGAGUAACAUUUAGGAAUCUGCCUAGUAGUGGGGGAUAGCUCGGGGAAACUCGAAUUAAUACCGCAUACGACCUACGGGUGAAAGGGGGCGCAAGCUCUUGCUAUUAGAUGAGCCUAAAUCAGAUUAGCUAGUUGGUGGGGUAAAGGCCCACCAAGGCGACGAUCUGUAACUGGUCUGAGAGGAUGAUCAGUCACACCGGAACUGAGACACGGUCCGGACCCCUACGGGAGGCAGCAGUGGGGAAUAUUGGACAAUGGGGGCAACCCUGAUCCAGCCAUGCCGCGUGUGUGAAGAAGGCCUUUUGGUUGUAAAGCACUUUAAGCAGGGAGGAGAGGCUAAUGGUUAAUACCCAUUAGAUUAGACGUUACCUGCAGAAUAAGCACCGGCUAACUCUGUGCCAGCAGCCGCGGUAAUACAGAGGGUGCGAGCGUUAAUCGGAAUUACUGGGCGUAAAGCGAGUGUAGGUGGCUCAUUAAGUCACAUGUGAAAUCCCCGGGCUUAACCUGGGAACUGCAUGUGAUACUGGUGGUGCUAGAAUAUGUGAGAGGGAAGUAGAAUUCCAGGUGUAGCGGUGAAAUGCGUAGAGAUCUGGAGGAAUACCGAUGGCGAAGGCAGCUUCCUGGCAUAAUAUUGACACUGAGAUUCGAAAGCGUGGGUAGCAAACAGGAUUAGAUACCCUGGUAGUCCACGCCGUAAACGAUGUCUACUAGCCGUUGGGGUCCUUGAGACUUUAGUGGCGCAGUUAACGCGAUAAGUAGACCGCCUGGGGAGUACGGCCGCAAGGUUAAAACUCAAAUGAAUUGACGGGGGCCCGCACAAGCGGUGGAGCAUGUGGUUUAAUUCGAUGCAACGCGAAGAACCUUACCUGGUCUUGACAUAGUGAGAAUCUCUCAGAGAUGAGAGAGUGCCUUCGGGAACUCACAUACAGGUGCUGCAUGGCUGUCGUCAGCUCGUGUCGUGAGAUGUUGGGUUAAGUCCCGCAACGAGCGCAACCCUUUUCCUUAUUUGCCAGCGGGUUAAGCCGGGAACUUUAAGGAUACUGCCAGUGACAAACUGGAGGAAGGCGGGGACGACGUCAAGUCAUCAUGGCCCUUACGACCAGGGCUACACACGUGCUACAAUGGUAGGUACAGAGGGUUGCUACACAGCGAUGUGAUGCUAAUCUCAAAAAGCCUAUCGUAGUCCGGAUUGGAGUCUGCAACUCGACUCCAUGAAGUCGGAAUCGCUAGUAAUCGCGGAUCAGAAUGCCGCGGUGAAUACGUUCCCGGGCCU
Molecule: ribosomal RNA, 1355 nt
Filed under: uncultured bacterium
Lineage: Bacteria
Description: bacterial SSU rRNA
Rfam family: Bacterial small subunit ribosomal RNA
Source: RNAcentral